AGCGAACGUUAGCGGCGGGCCUAACACAUGCAAGUCGAACGCGAAAGGUCUUCGGACUGAGUAGAGUGGCGCACGGGUGAGUAACACGUAGGUAAUCUACCCUUUGGCGGGGGAUAACGUUCUGAAAGGAGCGCUAAUACCGCAUAAGACCACGUGGUCUCCGGACCGAGUGGGAAAAGGUGGCCUCUUCUUGAAAGCUACCACCGAAGGAUGAGCCUGCGUCCCAUCAGCUAGUUGGUAAGGUAAUGGCUUACCAAGGCAAAGACGGGUAGCUGGUUUGAGAGAAUGAUCAGCCACACUGGCACUGGAACACGGGCCAGACUCCUACGGGAGGCAGCAGUGAGGAAUAUUGGGCAAUGGGCGAAAGCCUGACCCAGCCACGCCGCGUGAGUGAUGAAGGCCCUCGGGUCGUAAAGCUCUGUGGAGAGGGACGAAAACCCUGGUUUCAAAUAGGCUCCAGGCUUGACGGUACCUCUUUAGCAAGCACCGGCUAACUCUGUGCCAGCA
RNAcentral lists this ribosomal RNA (507 nucleotides) under uncultured bacterium. RNAcentral's name for it is "bacterial SSU rRNA". It matches the Rfam family "Bacterial small subunit ribosomal RNA", at positions 29 to 513 of the family's 1533-position model. The record is from RNAcentral.